AGACCCGAAACCCGGUGAUCUAGCCAUGGGCAGGUUGAAGGUUGGGUAACACUAACUGGAGGACCGAACCGACUAAUGUUGAAAAAUUAGCGGAUGACCUGUGGCUGGGGGUGAAAGGCCAAUCAAACCGGGAGAUAGCUGGUUCUCCCCGAAAGCUAUUUAGGUAGCGCCUCGUGAAUUCAUCUCCGGGGGUAGAGCACUGUUUCGGCUAGGGGGCCAUCCCGGCUUACCAACCCGAUGCAAACUGCGAAUACCGGAGAAUGUUAUCACGGGAGACACACGGCGGGUGCUAACGUCCGUCGUGAAGAGGGAAACAACCCAGACCGCCAGCUAAGGUCCCAAAGUCAUGGUUAAGUGGGAAACGAUGUGGGAAGGCCCAGACAGCCAGGAUGUUGGCUUAGAAGCAGCCAUCAUUUAAAGAAAGCGUAAUAGCUCACUGGUCGAGUCGGCCUGCGCGGAAGAUGUAACGGGGCUAAACCAUGCACCGAAGCUGCGGCAGCGACGCUUAUGCGUUGUUGGGUAGGGGAGCGUUCUGUAAGCCUGUGAAGGUGGCCUGUGAGGGUUGCUGGAGGUAUCAGAAGUGCGAAUGCUGACAUAAGUAACGAUAAAGCGGGU
Molecule: ribosomal RNA, 615 nt
Filed under: Salmonella enterica
Lineage: Bacteria; Pseudomonadati; Pseudomonadota; Gammaproteobacteria; Enterobacterales; Enterobacteriaceae
Also listed under: 1 other name
Description: partial 23S ribosomal RNA
Rfam family: Bacterial large subunit ribosomal RNA
Source: RNAcentral